Molecule: ribosomal RNA, 1491 nt
Filed under: Lactiplantibacillus argentoratensis
Lineage: Bacteria; Bacillati; Bacillota; Bacilli; Lactobacillales; Lactobacillaceae
Description: partial 16S ribosomal RNA
Rfam family: Bacterial small subunit ribosomal RNA
Source: RNAcentral
GACGAACGCUGGCGGCGUGCCUAAUACAUGCAAGUCGAACGAACUCUGGUAUUGAUUGGUGCUUGCAUCAUGAUUUACAUUUGAGUGAGUGGCGAACUGGUGAGUAACACGUGGGAAACCUGCCCAGAAGCGGGGGAUAACACCUGGAAACAGAUGCUAAUACCGCAUAACAACUUGGACCGCAUGGUCCGAGCUUGAAAGAUGGCUUCGGCUAUCACUUUUGGAUGGUCCCGCGGCGUAUUAGCUAGAUGGUGGGGUAACGGCUCACCAUGGCAAUGAUACGUAGCCGACCUGAGAGGGUAAUCGGCCACAUUGGGACUGAGACACGGCCCAAACUCCUACGGGAGGCAGCAGUAGGGAAUCUUCCACAAUGGACGAAAGUCUGAUGGAGCAACGCCGCGUGAGUGAAGAAGGGUUUCGGCUCGUAAAACUCUGUUGUUAAAGAAGAACAUAUCUGAGAGUAACUGUUCAGGUAUUGACGGUAUUUAACCAGAAAGCCACGGCUAACUACGUGCCAGCAGCCGCGGUAAUACGUAGGUGGCAAGCGUUGUCCGGAUUUAUUGGGCGUAAAGCGAGCGCAGGCGGUUUUUAAGUCUGAUGUGAAAGCCUUCGGCUCAACCGAAGAAGUGCAUCGGAAACUGGGAAACUUGAGUGCAGAAGAGGACAGUGGAACUCCAUGUGUAGCGGUGAAAUGCGUAGAUAUAUGGAAGAACACCAGUGGCGAAGGCGGCUGUCUGGUCUGUAACUGACGCUGAGGCUCGAAAGUAUGGGUAGCAAACAGGAUUAGAUACCCUGGUAGUCCAUACCGUAAACGAUGAAUGCUAAGUGUUGGAGGGUUUCCGCCCUUCAGUGCUGCAGCUAACGCAUUAAGCAUUCCGCCUGGGGAGUACGGCCGCAAGGCUGAAACUCAAAGGAAUUGACGGGGGCCCGCACAAGCGGUGGAGCAUGUGGUUUAAUUCGAAGCUACGCGAAGAACCUUACCAGGUCUUGACAUACUAUGCAAAUCUAAGAGAUUAGACGUUCCCUUCGGGGACAUGGAUACAGGUGGUGCAUGGUUGUCGUCAGCUCGUGUCGUGAGAUGUUGGGUUAAGUCCCGCAACGAGCGCAACCCUUAUUAUCAGUUGCCAGCAUUAAGUUGGGCACUCUGGUGAGACUGCCGGUGACAAACCGGAGGAAGGUGGGGAUGACGUCAAAUCAUCAUGCCCCUUAUGACCUGGGCUACACACGUGCUACAAUGGAUGGUACAACGAGUUGCGAACUCGCGAGAGUAAGCUAAUCUCUUAAAGCCAUUCUCAGUUCGGAUUGUAGGCUGCAACUCGCCUACAUGAAGUCGGAAUCGCUAGUAAUCGCGGAUCAGCAUGCCGCGGUGAAUACGUUCCCGGGCCUUGUACGCACCGCCCGUCACACCAUGAGAGUUUGUAACACCCAAAGUCGGUGGGGUAACCUUUUAGGAACCAGCCGCCUAAGGUGGGACAGAUGAUUAGGGUGAAG